GACGAACGCUGGCGGCGUGCUUAACACAUGCAAGUCGAGCGGUAAGGCCCUUUCGGGGGUACACGAGCGGCGAACGGGUGAGUAACACGUGGGUGACCUGCCCUCAGCUCUGGGAUAAGCCUGGGAAACUGGGUCUAAUACUGGAUAUGACUCCACGGUGCAUGUCGUGGGGUGGAAAGCCUUGUGCGGCUGAGGAUGGGCCCGCGGCCUAUCAGCUUGUUGGUGGGGUGANGGCCUACCAAGGCGACGACGGGUAGCCGGCCUGAGAGGGCGACCGGCCACACUGGGACUGAGACACGGUCCAGACUCCUACGGGAGGCAGCAGUAAGGAAUAUUGCUCAAUGGCCGAAAGGCUGAAGCAGCAACGCCGCGUGAGGGAUGAAGGGCUUUUGCUCGUAAACCUCUAGUAAAAUGGGAAAAAUAUCCUACUAUGUAGGAUUGAUUGUACCAUUAGAGUAAGCCCGGCUAACUACGUGCCAGCCGCCGCGGUAAC
RNAcentral lists this ribosomal RNA (493 nucleotides) under uncultured bacterium. RNAcentral's name for it is "bacterial SSU rRNA". It matches the Rfam family "Bacterial small subunit ribosomal RNA", at positions 28 to 524 of the family's 1533-position model. The record is from RNAcentral.